CUACGGGAGGCAGCAGUCGUGAAUUUUUCUCAAUGGGGGAAACCCUGAAGGAGCGACGCCGCGUGGGGGAUGAAUGGCUUUGGCCCGUAAACCCCUGUCAUUUGCGACUAAACCUUUCGAUCUAACACAUCGAAAGCUGAUUGUAGCAGAAGAGGAAGGGACGGCUAACUCUGUGCCAGCAGCCGCGGUAAUACAGAGGUCCCGAGCGUUGUUCGGAUUCACUGGGCGUAAAGGGUGCGUAGGUGGUGAGGUAAGUUUGGUGUGAAAGCUCCGAGCUCAACUCGGAAAUGGCAUCGAAUACUAUCUCGCUAGAGGUUUGUAGGGGGGACUGGAAUUCUCGGUGUAGCAGUGAAAUGCGUAGAUAUCGAGAGGAACACCAGUGGCGAAGGCGAGUCCCUGGACAACACCUGACACUGAGGCACGAAAGCUAGGGGAGCAAACAGGAUUAGAUACCCCGGUAGUCCG
RNAcentral lists this ribosomal RNA (465 nucleotides) under uncultured bacterium. Its description in RNAcentral is "bacterial SSU rRNA". It matches the Rfam family "Bacterial small subunit ribosomal RNA", at positions 339 to 797 of the family's 1533-position model. The record is from RNAcentral.